This 299-nucleotide long non-coding RNA is filed under the name Vitis vinifera (wine grape). RNAcentral describes it as "long non-coding RNA (VVIN_LNC007847)". Lineage: Eukaryota; Viridiplantae; Streptophyta; Magnoliopsida; Vitales; Vitaceae. The record is from RNAcentral.
UUGCAUUGUGUCUUUAUUGGAUAGAAACAAGGGCUCCUAAGUAUAGCCCAACGUAGUUUAAGCAAACCAAAACAUCUCUCGAUAACAUUUCUUGCUGCAGAAUGCUUCAUGUUGAAAAACUCUUCAUGGGUUGUUGGCAUGUGUCCCUCUCUCCAAUCAUUGAGAUGAUAUCUUUGCCCUCUAUAUGGGGCAAGAAACCCUUUUCCAUUUGUAUAGCCAACAUCAACAAGAUAGUAAUAACCUAAAAUGAAUAUUCCAAAACAUAUUUUAAAAAAUAUAUCAUAUAUUAAAAAGAAAUC